Molecule: ribosomal RNA, 320 nt
Filed under: uncultured eukaryote
Lineage: Eukaryota
Description: partial 18S ribosomal RNA
Rfam family: Eukaryotic small subunit ribosomal RNA
Source: RNAcentral
CCCCUAGAUGUUCUGGGCCGCACGCGCGCUACACUGAACAGUUCAACAAGUCUUAACCUUGGCCGAUAGGUCUGGGUAAUCUUUGAACGCUGUUCGUGAUUGGGAUAGACCUUUGCAAUUAUGGGUCUUCAACGAGGAAUUCCUAGUAAACGCAAGUCAUCAGCUUGCAUUGAUUACGUCCCUGCCCUUUGUACACACCGCCCGUCGCACCUACCGAUUGAAUGGUCCGGUGAAAUCUCGGGACGGCGGCUCGGUCGCUUGCGUCCGACUGCUGAAACUUGAUUAAACCAUAUCAUUUAGAGGAAGGUGANGUCGUAACA